This 253-nucleotide ribosomal RNA is filed under the name uncultured bacterium. RNAcentral describes it as "partial 16S ribosomal RNA". It matches the Rfam family "Bacterial small subunit ribosomal RNA", at positions 524 to 776 of the family's 1533-position model. The record is from RNAcentral.
UACGGGGGGGGCAAGCGUUGUUCGGAAUUACUGGGCGUAAAGGGCUCGUAGGCGGCCAACUAAGUCAGACGUGAAAUCCCUCGGCUUAACCGGGGAACUGCGUCUGAUACUGGAUGGCUUGAGUUUGGGAGAGGGAUGCGGAAUUCCAGGUGUAGCGGUGAAAUGCGUAGAUAUCUGGAGGAACACCGGUGGCGAAGGCGGCAUCCUGGACCGGUAUUGACGCUGAGGCGCGAAAGCUAGGGGAGCAAACGGG